This 475-nucleotide ribosomal RNA is filed under the name uncultured organism. Its description in RNAcentral is "partial 16S ribosomal RNA". It matches the Rfam family "Bacterial small subunit ribosomal RNA", at positions 333 to 799 of the family's 1533-position model. The record is from RNAcentral.
ACACUCCUGCGGGAGGCAGCAGUGGGGAAUUUUGGACAAUGGGGGCAACCCUGAUCCAGCAAUGCCGCGUGAGUGAAGAAGGCCUUCGGGUUGUAAAGCUCUUUUGUCAGGGAAGAAACGGUGGUGGCGAAUAACUACUACUAAUGACGGUACCUGAAGAAUAAGCACCGGCUAACUACGUGCCAGCAGCCGCGGUAAUACGUAGGGUGCAAGCGUUAAUCGGAAUUACUGGGCGUAAAGCGUGCGCAGGCGGUUGUGUAAGUCAGAUGUGAAAUCCCCGGGCUCAACCUGGGAAUUGCAUUUGAGACUGCACGGCUAGAGUGUGUCAGAGGGGGGUAGAAUUCCACGUGUAGCAGUGAAAUGCGUAGAUAUGUGGAGGAAUACCGAUGGCGAAGGCAGCCCCCUGGGAUAACACUGACGCUCAUGCACGAAAGCGUGGGGAGCAAACAGGAUUAGAAACCCGGGUAGUCCCAUG